CCUGGGGGAGGCCUGCGGUACAGUCGGGGGCCCAGCAGUCCCUGGAGCCCCUGUUCAAAUGGGGCCAGAGAUAACCGGUCAGCAAAGAACGGGGUGAAGCAGGAGAAAGUCAGGUCCAAGAGAGGUAGCGAUCCUGUGAGCUGGGAAGAGAUUCAUCGAAAGGAAGGCCCAGAGGCUUGCUGGCCUUGUUGGCUCAGGACGAGAAUCCCCUUAAGGAGGAAGAUGCCGUUGGAAUGAAAGCUGACAGCACAGGUGGCCCUUGGAUGUGGAAAACAAGUCUCUGGCGUGUGUCUUUGUACUUUAAUACCUUCUGCUGGAUUCUGCGAGCACAGAAGUAGCUCCUAGACUUGUUGACAUCUGUAAACACUUCUUUAGACAAAUCAAGGAAGGAAGGAAGGAAGGAGGGAACAUUCACUUGCACAAAACCUGCAUGACUUUUUGCCACAGCUGAAAAUACUGCCGGUCCAGUGAGUUGAACUCACCUGC
This is a long non-coding RNA of Neogale vison (American mink), 486 nucleotides long. RefSeq lists it as uncharacterized. Lineage: Eukaryota; Metazoa; Chordata; Mammalia; Carnivora; Mustelidae. The record is from RefSeq and is a predicted model, not a curated record. The transcript is spliced from 4 exons.